RNAcentral lists this unclassified non-coding RNA (269 nucleotides) under Hevea brasiliensis (rubber tree). The record is from RNAcentral. Lineage: Eukaryota; Viridiplantae; Streptophyta; Magnoliopsida; Malpighiales; Euphorbiaceae.
UGCCCAACACUCAUUCCUUCAGCAAAGAUUAAUGCAGUUAACUCACAAUCGAGUAGCAACACAUAAAUAUAAUCAUCAAUAGCACAAGUGGAAGUAGCUCUUAACUAAAGGUCCAGAAAACUACAAAGGCAAUUCUUUAUAGACGUAUAACUGAACUGAGAGUGAGAAAAACCACUGGAAAUCAGAAAUAAAAGUACAACCAAAAAACUUGACUGAGUUUUGAUCCAGUAACUUCCCCUUUAUACUCCUUCCCAAGAAUGACGUCCAAG